GGCCUGGUGGUCUAGUAGUAUGAUUCCUUCUUAGGGCAGAGGUCAUUUGGAGGAGGUCCCGGGUUCAAUUCCCGGCCAGGCCC
This is a non-coding RNA of Russula earlei, 83 nucleotides long. NCBI's taxonomy places the organism in Eukaryota, Fungi, Basidiomycota, Agaricomycetes, Russulales, Russulaceae. The record is from the annotation of a GenBank genome assembly.